AACGAACGCUGGCGGCAGGCUUAACACAUGCAAGUCGAGCGCCCCGCCAGGGGAGCGGCAGACGGGUGAGUAACGCGUGGGAACGUACCUUUUGGUUCGGAACAACUCCGGGAAACUGGAGCUAAUACCGGAUAAGCCCUAACGGGGAAAGAUUUAUCGCCGAAAGAUCGGCCCGCGUCUGAUUAGCUAGUUGGUGAGGUAACGGCUCACCAAGGCGACGAUCAGUAGCUGGUCUGAGAGGAUGAUCAGCCACACUGGGACUGAGACACGGCCCAGACUCCUACGGGAGGCAGCAGUGGGGAAUAUUGGACAAUGGGCGCAAGCCUGAUCCAGCCAGGCCGCGUGAGUGAUGAAGGCCUGAGGGUUGUAAAGCUCUUUUGUCCGGGAAGAUAAUGACUGUACCGGAAGAAUAAGCCCCGGCUAACUUCGUG
This 431-nucleotide ribosomal RNA is filed under the name uncultured bacterium. RNAcentral's name for it is "partial 16S ribosomal RNA". It matches the Rfam family "Bacterial small subunit ribosomal RNA", at positions 29 to 507 of the family's 1533-position model. The record is from RNAcentral.